RNAcentral lists this ribosomal RNA (447 nucleotides) under uncultured bacterium. Its description in RNAcentral is "partial 16S ribosomal RNA". It matches the Rfam family "Bacterial small subunit ribosomal RNA", at positions 29 to 523 of the family's 1533-position model. The record is from RNAcentral.
AACGAACGCUGGCGGCAGGCUUAACACAUGCAAGUCGAACGCCCCGCAAGGGGAGUGGCAGACGGGUGAGUAACGCGGGGGAAUCCACCGUGUCCUGUGGAAUAGCUCCGGGAAACUGGAAUUACUACCGCAUACGCCCUCCGGGGGAACGAUUUAUCGGGGUAUGACGAGCCCGCGUUGGAUUAGCUAGUUGGUGGGGUAAAGGCAUACCAAGGCGACGGUCCAUAGCUGGUUUGAGAGGAUGACCAGCCACAUUGGGACUGAGACACGGCCCAAACUCCUACGGGAGGCAGCAGUGGGGAAUAUUGGACAACGGGCGCAAGCCUGAUCCAGCCAUGCCGCGUGAGUGAUGAAGGCCUUAGGGUUGUAAAGCUCUUUCACCGAUGAAGAUAACGACGGUAGUCGGAGAAGAAGCCCCGGCUAACUUCGUGCCAGCAGCCGCCGUAA